UCCGGUUUGUCACCGGCAGUCCCAUUAGAGUGCUCAACUGAAUGUAGCAACUAAUGGCAAGGGUUGCGCUCGUUGCGGGACUUAACCCAACAUCUCACGACACGAGCUGACGACAGCCAUGCAGCACCUGUGUCCAGGUUCCCUUUCGGGCACCCUCCCAUCUCUGAGAGGUUCCUGGCAUGUCAAGGGUAGGUAAGGUUUUUCGCGUUGCAUCGAAUUAAUCCACAUAAUCCACCGCUUGUGCGGGCCCCCGUCAAUUCCUUUGAGUUUCAUUCUUGCGAACGUACUCCCCAGGUGGCUAACUUAUCACUUUCGCUUAGUCUCUGAACCCGAAAGCCCAAAAACGAGUUAGCAUCGUUUACGGCGUGGACUAC
This 374-nucleotide unclassified non-coding RNA is filed under the name uncultured Gammaproteobacteria bacterium. RNAcentral describes it as "contains 16S-23S intergenic spacer region". The record is from RNAcentral. Lineage: Bacteria; Pseudomonadati; Pseudomonadota; Gammaproteobacteria.